CGAGCCACACGAACGUUAUUCGGAAUUACUGGGCUUAAAGGGUGCGUAGGCGGUGCGGAAAGUUGGGUGUGAAAUCCCUCGGCUCAACCGAGGAACUGCGCCCAAAACUACCGUACUCGAGGAAGAUAGAGGUGAGCGGAACUUACGGUGGAGCGGUGAAAUGCGUUGAUAUCGUAAGGAACACCCGUGGCGAAAGCGGCUCACUGGGUCUUCUCUGACGCUGAUGCACGAAAGCUAGGGGAGCAAACGGGAUUAGAUACCCCGGUAGUCCUAGCCGUAAACUCUGAGUACUGAAUUGAAGGGCCCUCCAUAGCCCUUCAGUUGUAGCGAAAGUGUUAAGUACUCCGCCUGGGGAGUAUGGUCGCAAGGCUG
This 372-nucleotide ribosomal RNA is filed under the name uncultured organism. RNAcentral describes it as "bacterial SSU rRNA". It matches the Rfam family "Bacterial small subunit ribosomal RNA", at positions 526 to 896 of the family's 1533-position model. The record is from RNAcentral.